GGGACACGAGGAAUCCUGUCUGAAUCCGGGUCGACCACGAUCCAACCCUAAAUACUAAUACCAGAUCGAUAGUGCACAAGUACCGUGAGGGAAAGGUGAAAAGAACUGAGGUGAUCAGAGUGAAAUAGAACCUGAAACCAUUUGCUUACAAUCAUUCAGAGCCCUAUGUAGCAAUACAGGGUGAUGGACUGCCUUUUGCAUAAUGAGCCUGCGAGUUGUGGUGUCUGGCAAGGUUAAGCAAACGCGAAGCCGUAGCGAAAGCGAGUCUGAAUAGGGCGCUUAGUCAGAUGCUGCAGACCCGAAACGAAGUGAUCUAUCCAUGAGCAAGUUGAAGCUAGUGUAAGAACUAGUGGAGGACUGAACCCAUAGGCGUUGAAAAGCCCCGGGAUGACUUGUGGAUAGGGGUGAAAGGCCAAUCAAACUUCGUGAUAGCUGGUUCUCUCCGAAAUAUAUUUAGGUAUAGCGUUGUGUCGUAAUAUAAGGGGGUAGAGCACUGAAUGGGCUAGGGCAUACACCAAUGUACCAAACCCUAUCAAACUCCGAAUACCUUAUAUGUAAUCACAGCAGUCAGGCGGCGAGUGAUAAAAUCCGUCGUCAAGAGGGAAACAACCCAGACUACCAGCUAAGGUCCCUAAAUCUUACUUAAGUGGAAAACGAUGUGAAGUUACUUAAACAACCAGGAGGUUGGCUUAGAAGCAGCCAUCCUUUAAAGAAAGCGUAAUAGCUCACUGGUCUAGUGAUUUUGCGCGGAAAAUAUAACGGGGCUAAAGU
Molecule: ribosomal RNA, 771 nt
Filed under: Campylobacter jejuni
Lineage: Bacteria; Pseudomonadati; Campylobacterota; Epsilonproteobacteria; Campylobacterales; Campylobacteraceae
Description: partial 23S ribosomal RNA
Rfam family: Bacterial large subunit ribosomal RNA
Source: RNAcentral